RNAcentral lists this ribosomal RNA (253 nucleotides) under uncultured bacterium. Its description in RNAcentral is "partial 16S ribosomal RNA". It matches the Rfam family "Bacterial small subunit ribosomal RNA", at positions 524 to 776 of the family's 1533-position model. The record is from RNAcentral.
UACGUAGGGUGCAAGCGUUGUCCGGAAUUAUUGGGCGUAAAGAGCUCGUAGGCGGUUUGUCGCGUCGGCUGUGAAAACUCGGGGCUCAACCCCGAGCCUGCAGUCGAUACGGGCAGACUAGAGUGAUGUAGGGGAGACUGGAAUUCCUGGUGUAGCGGUGAAAUGCGCAGAUAUCAGGAGGAACACCGAUGGCGAAGGCAGGUCUCUGGGCAUUAACUGACGCUGAGGAGCGAAAGCAUGGGGAGCGAACAGG